UAAUUGGGGGAAAGGGUUGACGGAAGCCAAGCCGCGUGAGUGAAGAAGGAUUUCGGUUCGUAAAGCUCUGUUGUUAGGGAAGAAUGAUUGUGUAGUAACUAUACACAGUAGAGACGGUACCUAACCAGAAAGCCACGGCUAACUACGUGCCAGCAGCCGCGGUAAUACGUAGGUGGCAAGCGUUGUCCGGAAUUAUUGGGCGUAAAGCGCGCGCAGGUGGUUUAAUAAGUCUGAUGUGAAAGCCCACGGCUCAACCGUGGAGGGUCAUUGGAAACUGUUAAACUUGAGUGCAGGAGAGAAAAGUGGAAUUCCUAGUGUAGCGGUGAAAUGCGUAGAGAUUAGGAGGAACACCAGUGGCGAAGGCGGCUUUUUGGCCUGUAACUGACACUGAGGCGCGAAAGCGUGGGGAGCAAACAGGAUUAGAUACCCCGGUAGUCCAA
RNAcentral lists this ribosomal RNA (440 nucleotides) under Gemella haemolysans. Its description in RNAcentral is "bacterial SSU rRNA". It matches the Rfam family "Bacterial small subunit ribosomal RNA", at positions 369 to 798 of the family's 1533-position model. The record is from RNAcentral. Lineage: Bacteria; Bacillati; Bacillota; Bacilli; Caryophanales; Gemellaceae.